UCCCCUGUGGCUCAGCUGGUAGAGCAUGGUGUUUGCAACGCCAGCAUGGUGUUUGCAACGCCAGGGUUGUGGGUUCGAUUCCCACGGGGGGCC
Molecule: transfer RNA, 93 nt
Filed under: Salmo salar (Atlantic salmon)
Lineage: Eukaryota; Metazoa; Chordata; Actinopteri; Salmoniformes; Salmonidae
Rfam family: tRNA
About the family: Transfer RNA (tRNA) molecules are approximately 80 nucleotides in length. Their secondary structure includes four short double-helical elements and three loops (D, anti-codon, and T loops). Further hydrogen bonds mediate the characteristic L-shaped molecular structure. tRNAs have two regions of fundamental functional importance: the anti-codon, which is responsible for specific mRNA codon recognition, and the 3' end, to which the tRNAs corresponding amino acid is attached (by aminoacyl-tRNA synthetases). tRNAs cope with the degeneracy of the genetic code in two manners: having more than one tRNA (with a specific anti-codon) for a particular amino acid; and 'wobble' base-pairing, i.e. permitting non-standard base-pairing at the 3rd anti-codon position.
Source: Rfam by way of RNAcentral